GUGUGUCCCAAAAAAGAUCAAGGAGAUAUGGGUUUUCAUGAUAUUCAUUGUUUCAACCCAUUAAUGUUGGCAAAACAGGGUUGUCAUCUUCUCGAGAAUCCAGACUCCUUAUGUGCCACUAUUUUGAGAGUGGAAUGCUUUCCUGAUGGUGAUUUACGGAAUGCAAAGAUGAAAAAUGGAUCGUCGUUCACCUGGCAGAGCAUUAUGUUGGGCGUGAAUCUGCUAAACCAUGGCUAUAUUUGA
RNAcentral lists this ribosomal RNA (243 nucleotides) under Triticum aestivum (bread wheat). Its description in RNAcentral is "partial small subunit ribosomal RNA". Lineage: Eukaryota; Viridiplantae; Streptophyta; Magnoliopsida; Poales; Poaceae. The record is from RNAcentral.